UAAACUCCUGUUGUUGAGGAAGAUAAUGACGGUACUCAACAAGGAAGUGACGGCUAACUACGUGCCAGCAGCCGCGGUAAAACGUAGGUCACAAGCGUUGUCCGGAAUUACUGGGUGUAAAGGGAGCGCAGGCGGGCGAUCAAGUUGGAAGUGAAAUCCAUGGGCUCAACCCAUGAACUGCUUUCAAAACUGAUUGUCUUGAGUAGUGCAGAGGUAGGCGGAAUUCCCGGUGUAGCGGUGGAAUGCGUAGAUAUCGGGAGGAACACCAGUGGCGAAGGCGGCCUACUGGGCACCAACUGACGCUGAGGCUCGAAAGUGUGGGUAGCAAACAGGAUUAGAUACCCUGGUAGUCCACACCGUAAACGAUGAUUACUAGGUGUUGGAGGAUUGACCCCUUCAGUGCCGCAGUUAACACAAUAAGUAAUCCACCUGGGGAGUACGACCGCAAGGUUGAAACUCAAAGGAAUUGACGGGGGCCCGCACAAGCAGUGGAGUAUGUGGUUUAAUUCGACGCAACGCGAAGAACCUUACCAAGUCUUGACAUCCUGCGACGGACAUAGAAAUAUGUUUUUCCUUCGGGACGCAGAGACAGGUGGUGCAUGGUUGUCGUCAGCUCGUGUCGUGAGAUGUUGGGUUAAGUCCCGCAACGAGCGCAACCCUUAUGGUCAGUUACUACGCAAGAGGACUCUGGCCGGACUGCCGUUGACAAA
Molecule: ribosomal RNA, 710 nt
Filed under: Faecalibacterium prausnitzii
Lineage: Bacteria; Bacillati; Bacillota; Clostridia; Eubacteriales; Oscillospiraceae
Description: bacterial SSU rRNA
Rfam family: Bacterial small subunit ribosomal RNA
Source: RNAcentral